UUUCAAUGUUAUCAUUAAUUUCCAUGUGUAAAUGUCUUUGAAUGGCUUGUUUAUUGCAAUAUCAAGAGUCUGAAGAUACAAUCAUUCCUGCGGGAAUUGUUAUUUGAUCUAUUCAUUUCUUUGCAAAGAAGUUCUUCAUGUCUUUGACACAGUGAGCACUGGCUGAAUCCAGACUAGCAAAUCUCUUUAGCUACCUUACAAAUACAAGGUGGCCAGAGAAACCUACUUCCUUAUAACUGCUUGUGUGCACCAGGUUUUUUGGUCUCAAGAAUAUAAAUGCUUGAAACAUGUUAAAUCUUAUCUUUUUGCCUUUAGUGAUGAUUGAAGGUGGGGCUUUCUUUCCAUCCAGACAAAUUGCCAAAUUUCAUAAUCAGUAGAAGGAAUGUAGAUUGACAUGACAUCUUCUGAUCAAUUGUUGUUUGAGAUCCUUGGCCCAUAAAUAUUGCAGUUUCAUUCGUAUCAAUCAUAUUGGAAAGUUGAUAUUUAGAAAAGUUGAUGCCCUCAACAAAAGACUUGAAUGCAAAUACACAUUUAGUAAGUUCAAUAUCUUCAAUAUGAACAGUGUUGUUGAUCAUCUCGGAGACAGUUCAUAUUGCUGAAGGAAGCCAUCCAGCCAGUGUUGUGAUGCUUUGAGUUCUUCUGGGGAUAUUUCUAACUCUGUGUCAUUGCAAGGGCAAAUGUUUGAAUAUCAGCUCUGCACAUACCCAAAGCUUUUGCUCUCCUGUCAGCAAUCCAUUCAUAGAUAAUAUCUUCCAGCUGAGUAAAUAAUGGUUGUCGACCUGAUCCACAUAUGCAUUUUUAGCAUUUCUCUCCUCCACCUGUUGACUGAGGUUACUGUAUUCUGCUUGUCUUUUUCAGAACAUUCAGAGAUCCGGCUUCUCUUUGCAGAAAGCCGUAAGAUUCUUGCCCCAGAAGUCCUCCAUGAUUCCUUUGAUAUACUCAAUGGAAUAACUCUUUUUUUUUUUUUUUCAUUCACCUUGUCUGGGGGUCAAAAUAUUAUUCUCUUUAAAUCUACUAUUAAAUCAAAUGUUAAUUGAAGACUUACAAGACAGGCAUUGCAAUAAAAAUAAUGACAGUUAAGAAUGAUGGUCCACACAAAAAUGAUAAAAAAAUUGCUGGCACCAAAAU
RNAcentral lists this long non-coding RNA (1128 nucleotides) under Androctonus crassicauda. Lineage: Eukaryota; Metazoa; Arthropoda; Arachnida; Scorpiones; Buthidae. The record is from RNAcentral.